ACCAAAUUCUGAAUGGAAUUCAAAGAGGCCUUUUCAUUGUUCUGUGAUUCACGAAGGAAGCACCAAAAAAGUCACAUUGGUAAAAGAGGCCUCUUCUCAUAUCACAAUGACACUGACACCACCAAGUGCCUACGACAUUUUCAACAACAACCAGGCAAAGGUGGAGUGUACAAUUACUGGACAGGACGAGAUCACUUGGCAAAUUGAUGGACAAACUGUGACCAACAACAUCUCUGUAAGACCAAACUCCGGAAACAAAACCAGCACGUUGACUCGUACUCGCACUGAGUGGCUGAGAUUCAACAAGGUGCGCUGUUCUGCCAAUAGUGUUACUCAAGAUCUGACUAUCCACAAAUCAGAUACGAUUGAGCCAAAAGUAACUGUCUACAUCCUCCCAGAGGAAGACAUCAGCAAAGGAGGCUCAGCUGAUGUCACGAUAGUGUGUCUGGUGUCUAGUUCUGUGCAGCAGGACUACUUCAUCGGCUGGUUAGAAUAUAACGGACUCAACGCCAGCAUCUAUAAUGAUGGCAUCAACUUCCUCCCUCAGAGUACCAAAAUCGGCUUCUCAGUUACAAGUAUUUACACCACCACCAAGGAAAAGUGGAACAAGAACAACAUGUUCUCCUGCAACGUCUGGGCUGCUGGCAGCAAAAGGUUGACAUCCAGAACCGUGUCUAAGGGCCUCAGUAACUCGACUGAAUUUUUAAAUCUGCGUCUUGCUACGAGCUGCACAGAUGAUGGCAUUGAGGAGGAUGAGUACAGCAGCCUGUGGUCCACAACCUCCUCCUUCAUAUUCCUCUUCAUAUCCUCUCUCCUUUAUAGCAUGAUAUUCAGCCUGGUCAAGAUGAAGAAACCAUAAGAUGAGAUGGAUGCAAAGCAUGGACGACAGGUCUUCAUUUGUUUUCUGACUUUUAUAUCUAGUUUAAAAAACAUUUACAUGAGUGCUAAAUUAAAUGAUUGUCAUAUAUAUUGAUUAACUAAGUCACUGACAAUGGAUUUCUCUGUAACCUAUAGAAAAAUGAUGGUACAAAUAUAAUUCCUAGUCAUUUAGAUGAAUAGAUUUUCAUUUGCUACUGUAGUUGCAUUAAGAAUAGAACAGCUAUUGAUUACUUUUCUUGAAGACUUUUAGUGUCAAUAAAAUGUGUUGGUAAAGCAUUAUUAACUUUCAUUGACACAUAAAUAUCAAAUUGCACUGUAGUUGAGAUAAAUAUAUUCUGUAUUAUGCAUUUUCUUUGUUUGAAUAUAUAUCUAAACUUUU
Non-coding RNA from Anarrhichthys ocellatus (wolf-eel), 1258 nucleotides. The record is from the annotation of a RefSeq genome assembly. Lineage: Eukaryota; Metazoa; Chordata; Actinopteri; Perciformes; Anarhichadidae.